GCCCAGAUGGCGGAAUUGGUAGACGCGCCAGCUUCAGGUGCUGGUAUUCGCAAGAAUGUGGAGGUUCGAGUCCUCUUCUGGGCACCA
This 87-nucleotide transfer RNA is filed under the name hydrothermal vent metagenome. RNAcentral's name for it is "tRNA-Leu-CAG". It matches the Rfam family "tRNA". From Rfam's summary of the family: Transfer RNA (tRNA) molecules are approximately 80 nucleotides in length. The record is from RNAcentral.